Molecule: long non-coding RNA, 489 nt
Filed under: Gallus gallus (chicken)
Lineage: Eukaryota; Metazoa; Chordata; Aves; Galliformes; Phasianidae
Description: long non-coding RNA NONGGAT005319
Source: RNAcentral
CCGGCAGGAGCCACCGCCCCGCGGCAGCACACGGGGCCCUGGAUCCAUGCUGGCCCCCACAUUUCCACGCCGACAGCUGUCCCGCAGCCUCUCAAGCCAGGGCUUCCACAGAAGGCAGCUGCCAGCGACUCCCACUGCAGGCACCAUGCAGAGAACACGACCCCGGCCGGCCCCAGAGAUUCCCCCGGUCCCAAUGAACUCAGCACUGGAGUUUGAUGACCCCGUGUACAGCCCGAGGAUGAGCAGCACCAAGCAAGCCGCAGCCCCAGAGAACAUUUACGAGCAGGUUCCUAGAGGCCGCCCCUAAGGUAUACAGGUAGGGCCAUGGCAAUGCCCAGCCUCUUGUUGGCACAAGGUCUGCCUGCUCUGCUCUUGCAGGGCAGAGGGAGACCCCUGGACCUUGGAGGCAGUCCCAGGCAUACCAGCAGCAUCCAUCAGCUCUGCAUUGGGAUUCGCACGCCUUUCCUGGCACGGUUGCCUGUUCCCAAG